Molecule: transfer RNA, 73 nt
Filed under: Stegodyphus mimosarum
Lineage: Eukaryota; Metazoa; Arthropoda; Arachnida; Araneae; Eresidae
Rfam family: tRNA
About the family: Transfer RNA (tRNA) molecules are approximately 80 nucleotides in length. Their secondary structure includes four short double-helical elements and three loops (D, anti-codon, and T loops).
Source: Rfam by way of RNAcentral
GCCUUCGUGGUGUAAAGGUCAGCACACUGAGCCGGUAUUUCAGAGGUCCGUGGUUCGAUUCCCGGCGAAGGAA